GCAAAAUGUUUCAGGGACGCGAAAAAUGUACAGUGCUUACGCAUGUUUGUCUGUUUUUCAGCGGAAUGUUUCAAGGACCGGUCUGUACUGUACACACAUGGUCUAUAUACGCAUGGUGUGAAAAUGAAACGGAAUGUUUCAAGGACUGG
Molecule: long non-coding RNA, 149 nt
Organism: Mangifera indica (mango)
Lineage: Eukaryota; Viridiplantae; Streptophyta; Magnoliopsida; Sapindales; Anacardiaceae
Exons: 3
Source: RefSeq, a predicted model, not a curated record